ACUCCUACGGGAGGCAGCAGUGGGGAAUCUUGCGCAAUGGGCGGAAGCCUGACGCAGCAACGCCGCGUGAGGGAUGACGGCCUUCGGGUUGUAAACCUCUUUCGCGAUCGACGAAGGUCAUGCUUUUGGCAUGGCUGACGGUAGGUCGAGAAGAAGCACCGGCCAACUACGUGCCAGCAGCCGCGGUAAUACGUAGGGUGCGAGCGUUGUCCGGAAUUAUUGGGCGUAAAGAGCUCGUAGGCGGUGUGUCGCGUCGGCCGUGAAACCUGGGGCUUAACUCUGGGCGUGCGGUCGAUACGGGCAUCACUAGAGUUCGGCAGGGGAGACUGGAAUUCCUGGUGUAGCGGUGAAAUGCGCAGAUAUCAGGAGGAACACCGGUGGCGAAGGCGGGUCUCUGGGCCCGAUACUGACGCUGAGGAGCGAAAGCAUGGGUAGCGAACAGGAUUAGAUACCCUGUAGGCUCUG
RNAcentral lists this ribosomal RNA (465 nucleotides) under uncultured bacterium. Its description in RNAcentral is "bacterial SSU rRNA". It matches the Rfam family "Bacterial small subunit ribosomal RNA", at positions 335 to 799 of the family's 1533-position model. The record is from RNAcentral.